RNAcentral lists this ribosomal RNA (489 nucleotides) under uncultured bacterium. RNAcentral describes it as "SSU rRNA". It matches the Rfam family "Bacterial small subunit ribosomal RNA", at positions 26 to 523 of the family's 1533-position model. The record is from RNAcentral.
AGGACGAACGCUAGCGGCGUGUUUGAAACAUGCAAGUCGAACGAGCCUAACAUUUCGGUGUGAGGUGUAGUGGCGAACGGGUGCGUAACACGUAAAGAACCUAUCCAGAAGCGGGGGAUAGCCUCUAGAAAUGGGGGGUAAUACCGCAUAAGGUACAAGACAGGCAUCUGUCAUGUAGCAAAGGAUACGCAAGUAUUUCACUUAUGGAGGGCUUUGCGGCCUAUCAGGUAGUUGGUGGGGUCACGGCCUACCAAGCCAAAGACGGGUAGCUGGUCUGAGAGGACGAUCAGCCACACUGGGACUGAGAUACGGCCCAGACUCCUACGGGGGGCAGCAGUUUAGAAUAUUGUGCAAUGGGCGAAAGCCUGACACAGCGACGCCGCGUGGGUGAUGAAGGCCUUCGGGUCGUAAAGCCCUGUUGGUAGGGAAGAGAACGGACGGUACCUACCGAGGAAGCCCCGGCUAACUACGUGCCAGCAGCCGCGGUAA